Molecule: ribosomal RNA, 378 nt
Filed under: Enterobacter sp. B-32
Lineage: Bacteria; Pseudomonadati; Pseudomonadota; Gammaproteobacteria; Enterobacterales; Enterobacteriaceae
Description: bacterial SSU rRNA
Rfam family: Bacterial small subunit ribosomal RNA
Source: RNAcentral
GGUUUAAUUCGAUGCAACGCGAAGAACCUUACCUACUCUUGACAUCCAGAGAAUUUAGCAGAGAUGCUUUAGUGCCUUCGGGAACUCUGAGACAGGUGCUGCAUGGCUGUCGUCAGCUCGUGUUGUGAAAUGUUGGGUUAAGUCCCGCAACGAGCGCAACCCUUAUCCUUUGUUGCCAGCGGUUCGGCCGGGAACUCAAAGGAGACUGCCAGUGAUAAACUGGAGGAAGGUGGGGAUGACGUCAAGUCAUCAUGGCCCUUACGAGUAGGGCUACACACGUGCUACAAUGGCAUAUACAAAGAGAAGCGACCUCGCGAGAGCAAGCGGACCUCACAAAGUAUGUCGUAGUCCGGAUCGGAGUCUGCAACUCGACUCCGU